RNAcentral lists this transfer RNA (82 nucleotides) under Candidatus Vidania fulgoroideorum. RNAcentral's name for it is "tRNA-Leu". It matches the Rfam family "tRNA". From Rfam's summary of the family: Transfer RNA (tRNA) molecules are approximately 80 nucleotides in length. Their secondary structure includes four short double-helical elements and three loops (D, anti-codon, and T loops). Further hydrogen bonds mediate the characteristic L-shaped molecular structure. tRNAs have two regions of fundamental functional importance: the anti-codon, which is responsible for specific mRNA codon recognition, and the 3' end, to which the tRNAs corresponding amino acid is attached (by aminoacyl-tRNA synthetases). tRNAs cope with the degeneracy of the genetic code in two manners: having more than one tRNA (with a specific anti-codon) for a particular amino acid; and 'wobble' base-pairing, i.e. permitting non-standard base-pairing at the 3rd anti-codon position. Lineage: Bacteria; Pseudomonadati; Pseudomonadota; Betaproteobacteria. The record is from RNAcentral.
AUUCGUGUGGUGAAAUUGGUAAACACAGAAAACUCAAAAUUUUCCGUUUUAAUACUUACCGGUUCGAGUCCGGUCACGAAUA